This 2846-nucleotide long non-coding RNA is filed under the name Ananas comosus (pineapple). RNAcentral's name for it is "long non-coding RNA (ACOM_LNC022607)". Lineage: Eukaryota; Viridiplantae; Streptophyta; Magnoliopsida; Poales; Bromeliaceae. The record is from RNAcentral.
UCUUAUCUAAUUCUCCCUCUUUUUCUCUCUCAACCCUAGAAGCAAAAUAGUGAAGGAAAGUGUUGGAGACUUGGCAGCUUUGGUGUCUUGGUCGUAUUGGAGCUGCCGAAGUAGAAACCCAGCCUUGGAAUACUUCGAACCUGAGGUAAAUAAUUUGUUCUCAGCUGGGAAUUAAUUUGUUUGUUGCUUUAAAGAGAGUAGAAGCAAUAGAAUUUCAGUUUUCUGAAAUUGUAGGGGAAAAGCUUGGUGGAGUAGUGCAGUUUUUAAGGGUUUGAGCUGAAAAGAAGGCUUUAGAACAGGGAAGCUAGCUGUUGGAGCAUCAAGAUAAGGUAAACUUGAUCCAAUUAUGAUUAGGGUUCAAUUAUUUAUCUUAGAAAGAUGUUAAAUUGGAAUAGUAUGCUGGUUGAGGGUGUAGAAACCUGAAAAACUGCAUUGUGGACAUGGUAUUUGUGAGCUAUGGAUUAGGAAUGCAAUCUAAGAUGGAAUUAAUGGAAAGUUAAGUUAAUUCCUGGUUUAAAGGGUGCAUAUUUAUAUUCUAAAGAGGUCUAAAUCGCAUAUUUUAAGUAUUAUGACUCCUAAUUAAUACUGAAAGGCUUAAGGAAAAAUUGUGGAAGCAUGCAUGUAUAUGUAUGCAUAUGUAUGUAUACUUGUGAAUAUAUAUGUGAAUUGGUUAUUGGGAAUGAAACCUGAGGUGGAAGAGACCUAAUUCCUGGUUACAGUACAUGGUGUUUGACUUAAAGAAGAAGUAGACAAUGGGAUUAUAGGUUUCUAAAGUUGAAAUUGCCGUGAAAACCUAUAGAAAAGCCAUAUGUUGAAUGUAGUAUGUAAACUCUUGGGUUGACGUGAGCCUGUAGAAAUGAGAAGUAACAGGAGUUCAUUUCUGGUAUUCCUAAAUUAAUGGGUUGAAGUCCUUAAAUUGUUAGAGUUUGUAGUACUCUAUAGGUUUUUGUAGAACCUGUAUAGAGGGGUUGACAAUAGGUUAAAUGGAAACCUAAGCUCGAUAAUGCACUUUUGUAGGAUCGAGGUUCUCGCUUGGAAUUGAUCGCGUACAAACCUAAUUAAGGGCAAGGCGAACACGUUGGAAAGCUCGGAUCGAUAUUCCGACGAGCCUACGGCAAGCUAGUGAGGAAAACCUCAUUUUAGCUCAAGUUGUCGCGCGCAAGGAUUGCGGUCGUCCGUAAAGUGCGGGAAGUGAAUUUCUCACAUUCCGGUAUCAACUAAAGAUGGGUUGUGCUUCACCGAAGCGAUUAGGUCGCUUCCAUGCCAAAGUAAUGUAUGGUUUUCAUUGAUGCAUAUAUGUAUAGUGGUAGGUUAUGAAUGAUAAAGUGAAUGUGUGAAUUAUGAUAUAUUAGCUAAUGUUACCUACUGUUGAAAUAUGCAUAUGAAUACAUUAUGGAUAAUGUUAGAGAAUAUAUAAAUAUUGACAUAUUGUGAACAUGCUAGAUUCACAUGAAUUGAGUAUUAGUCGAUAACUCUAGGUUGAUUAGAGAAUUCGCCGUUUAUAAAGUGUAAAGUGAGAAUAUGUAAACUAUGAUCCCAGGCAAGGAUAACUAGGCUGAUACAUAGAUCGAGUGGCAUGAACCUAGUGUUAUUAAACAUAGGUUGGACAUGAACCUAGUGUCAUUGAACAUAGGUGUCGAGAUCUAGGUGAAAUGACAUAGAACCUAGCGUGAUUGAACCUAGGUUAUGAUGUAUAGUGACACUUAGUAUAUUUGAACUAAGUCAUGGGUUAUAGUGAUAGAAGGACCACUAGGAAAUAAAUUGAGUUAGACCUAGGAAGGUCGUCAACAUAAGGUAAGUAUUAAACCCUUAAGUUGUGAAAGUGGUUUUCGGAAUCCCUAGGAAUGGUGCUGUUGGCAAAAAUAGAAUCAGAACUACGGGUUUGACGGUUCUUCUCGCCCGGUAGUGAUUCAACGGGAUCGACGGUUCUCCUCUCCUGGUAUGAGCUCAACGGGUUUGACAGUUCUCCUCGCCCGUUAAGCUUUAGCAGCUUAGGGUCACGGGGAACGAUGGUUCUCCCCUCCCUAUGAUGGACCUAUAGUCGUGUGGACUUAAGGCUGAGGUGCUUGUGAGACGUCCUUCACCUCGAGCCUGACUUGACGCGGUACUCCUCGGAUGAUUGACUCGAGACCGAGUAGGGUGGAUAGCUUGAUUAAGGUAGAUGAAACCUUAGAAGCUAGUGUGAUUUGAACUAUGGAUAGCGAGAUAGAAAGUAGGAUCAGCAGACCUACUGGACAUAGUUGCACAAUUUGCAUAUUGCAUACCGUGAGGCAUACAUGUAUUAAUAUUAUCUGCAUAAAUUAUUUGUGAAUAUCUGUUGAACUAACAUGUUACAGUGCCUCUUUUGGACCUGGUGUGUCGAGCUCUUCCCUUGGGUGGCCGUACCCACUGGGAACUAUAUUUAUAUAGGUUCUCACCCCGGUGUUGUUUUUGGGGGUACAGGUUCGCACGUGAGCGGCGCGGCGGCGCAAGGACAGGGUGUAGCUCCGUAGAUAGCGCCCUACUACUGAGACCAAGAUAGCAGUAUCUUGAAGUGGUCUAGCUCAGAGUUCAGAAUAAAAGUAACAAACUUGUAGUAAUUUGUAUAAAGGCUUAUGUAAUAACUUAAAGGUAUUUGUAGUAUUGUAAAAUGUAAUAAAUCUCUGAGAUGAAUGCUUGUAAUAGCAUAGUAGCAUUUUAUGUUUUUGAUACUUAUGCAGUCUAUGUUUGAAUACUGUUCCUGGUUGGAACCUCUUAUAUUGCAUUGUAUAGAUUGUGACGCCUAGAACGUACAGGAAAAGCUUUGUCCGUUCGGCGGUCUGUCGGCGUGCCCGAAUCCGACCAAAUAGGCGGAGCUCGGAGCGUGA